Molecule: ribosomal RNA, 253 nt
Filed under: uncultured bacterium
Lineage: Bacteria
Description: partial 16S ribosomal RNA
Rfam family: Bacterial small subunit ribosomal RNA
Source: RNAcentral
UACGGGGGGGGCAAGCGUUGUUCGGAAUUACUGGGCGUAAAGGGUUCGUAGGUGGCCUGCUAAGUCAGACGUGAAAUCCCUCAGCUUAACUGGGGAACUGCGUCUGAGACUGGCGGGCUUGAGUGCAGGAGAGGAACGCGGAAUUCCAGGUGUAGCGGUGAAAUGCGUAGAUAUCUGGAGGAACACCGGCGGCGAAGGCGGCGUUCUGGACUGUUACUGACACUGAGGAACGAAAGCCAGGGGAGCAAACGGG